This 497-nucleotide ribosomal RNA is filed under the name uncultured bacterium. Its description in RNAcentral is "partial 16S ribosomal RNA". It matches the Rfam family "Bacterial small subunit ribosomal RNA", at positions 28 to 507 of the family's 1533-position model. The record is from RNAcentral.
GAUGAACGCUGGCGGCGUGCCUAAUACAUGCAAGUCGAGCGAACGGACGAGAAGCUUGCUUCUCUGAUGUUAGCGGCGGACGGGUGAGUAACACGUGGAUAACCUACCUAUAAGACUGGGAUAACUUCGGGAAACCGGAGCUAAUACCGGAUAAUAUUUUGAACCGCAUGGUUCAAAAGUGAAAGACGGUCUUGCUGUCACUUAUAGAUGGAUCCGCGCUGCAUUAGCUAGUUGGUAAGGUAACGGCUUACCAAGGCAACGAUGCAUAGCCGACCUGAGAGGGUGGUCGGCCACACUGUAACUGAGACACGGCCCAGACUCCUACGGGAGGCAGCAGUAGGGAAUCUUCCGCGAUGGACGAAAGCGUGACGGAGCAACGCCGCGUGAGUGAUGAAGGUCUUAGGAUCGUAAAACUCUGUUAUUAGGGAAGAACAUAUGUGUAAGUAACUGUGCACAUCUUGACGGUACCUAAUCAGAAAGCCACGGCUAACUACGUG